GCGCAUGGCUUAGUGGUACAGCGUCUCACUCGUACACAUCUGCGACAUGAGAAGAUCGGCGGUUCGAUUCCGCCUGUGGGCA
Molecule: transfer RNA, 82 nt
Filed under: Byssothecium circinans
Lineage: Eukaryota; Fungi; Ascomycota; Dothideomycetes; Pleosporales; Massarinaceae
Rfam family: tRNA
About the family: Transfer RNA (tRNA) molecules are approximately 80 nucleotides in length. Their secondary structure includes four short double-helical elements and three loops (D, anti-codon, and T loops). Further hydrogen bonds mediate the characteristic L-shaped molecular structure. tRNAs have two regions of fundamental functional importance: the anti-codon, which is responsible for specific mRNA codon recognition, and the 3' end, to which the tRNAs corresponding amino acid is attached (by aminoacyl-tRNA synthetases). tRNAs cope with the degeneracy of the genetic code in two manners: having more than one tRNA (with a specific anti-codon) for a particular amino acid; and 'wobble' base-pairing, i.e. permitting non-standard base-pairing at the 3rd anti-codon position.
Source: Rfam by way of RNAcentral